This 148-nucleotide unclassified non-coding RNA is filed under the name uncultured Leotiaceae. Its description in RNAcentral is "sequence contains ITS2". The record is from RNAcentral. Lineage: Eukaryota; Fungi; Ascomycota; Leotiomycetes; Helotiales.
CAACCCUCAAGCUCUGCUUGGUAUUAGGCCUCACCCAUCAGGGUGGGCUGUAAAAUCAGUGGCGGUGCCAUUCGGCUUCAAGCGUAGUAAUUUUUCUCGCUUUGGAGUACCGGCUGUGUGCCUGCCAGUAACCCCAAUUUUUAUCAAA